RNAcentral lists this non-coding RNA (157 nucleotides) under uncultured Phascolarctobacterium sp. RNAcentral describes it as "Lysine riboswitch". It matches the Rfam family "Lysine riboswitch aptamer". From Rfam's summary of the family: Riboswitches are metabolite binding domains within certain messenger RNAs that serve as precision sensors for their corresponding targets. Lineage: Bacteria; Bacillati; Bacillota; Negativicutes; Acidaminococcales; Acidaminococcaceae. The record is from RNAcentral.
UAAGAUAGAGGCGCGGAAAGCAUCAGUAGUCUGCGGAGCGGGAGCUGGGAAGCAGGCGAAAGGGCUAACGCCGAAGUGCAAUGGCAGCCGUGCCGUUGUGCUGGGCCGUCAGUGAAAGCUGCCGGACUGUCGCUGCAAAAGCAGCGGAGGGCUAUCU